Molecule: long non-coding RNA, 871 nt
Filed under: Pan paniscus (pygmy chimpanzee)
Lineage: Eukaryota; Metazoa; Chordata; Mammalia; Primates; Hominidae
Description: lncRNA (ENSPPAG00000044917.1)
Source: RNAcentral
AGAAGAUUAUCAAGGUUAUCUGUGCUCAAUGUGUGCAUCUCAGAUCAGCAGCAUCAGCAUCACCUGGGAGCUUGUUAGAGAUGGAGACUCUCAGGCUCCACGGCAGACUUCCUGAAUCAGAAGCUACAAUUUAACAGGAUCCUCGGGUGAUCUGAAAAUGCAAUAAAGUUUGGGAAGCACUGCUGUUGGUCAUUAGACAAUCUAAUGAACUAAGACUUUUGCCGAGCAUCUGAGUUGAAAUUUUUCAAGAUGAAAAGUUGCUAAAGAAAGAGAAAGGGAAGCGGUUUGCUCCAGUAUUCCUCUUUCUACCUUCCCACUGACUGGGAAGCAGCAGUUAGCAGAGCCACAGCCUUGGAUUAGAGAUAAGAGGGACGUGUUGAGGAAGGUGGAGUCUCCCCCACAGCCCUGGACCAGUGGCAACCAGGUCUGUGCAUAAUCUAGAGAUCAAAUUGUUCCUGAUUCUCAAUCUCUGAUGAGCUAUGCCACGCUUAGAAGGUGGACAAGCGGUGCAUCUUGAUGUGGAAAACAGGUUUUUCUUUACAUUUUCUCAAUCCUAGGAAGAAUGGACAUCACAAGGAACUGCCAAGUACGGAAUCCCUGUAUUCUAGGAUUUGGCAAGCUGUCCACUGAAACAUUAUUUUUCCCAGCCUUGUUUGCAGAGAAAUUAGUUGAUAACGUCUUCCAGGAGACCUACGGCCAUCCUACUGAUAUGAACCAGAUCAUACCUGCCCUGAUGGGAUGCCAGAGAAAGACUGCUGCAAGGUACUCGCCACUCACAGACGCCUCCAUUUAUCUCACUGAUGCAAAGGACCCUGAGGUAAUUUUUGAAAACAUUUUUUCCCAUCUUAAGAAGAUAAAUGAAAUGAAUUGA